Molecule: unclassified non-coding RNA, 260 nt
Filed under: fungal sp.
Lineage: Eukaryota; Fungi
Description: partial internal transcribed spacer region
Source: RNAcentral
AAGUUGUAACAAAGUCUCCGUUAGUAAACCAGCGGAAGGAUUAUUAUAGAGUUGCAAAACUCCUAUCACCAUUGCGAACUUACCUUACACCCGUUGCUUUAGCAGGCAGCCCUAGGCUUCUGUUUUCACAGAUCCUUAGGGCUCUAUAGCCUAAUUGUCAGGUGCCUGCCAGAGGUCAUGCAACUAGACAUUGUUUAUAGCCUGUUAGAAUUUAUACUACCAAUUAGUCAAAACUUUCAACAACAGAUCUCUUAGUUCUA